This 284-nucleotide ribosomal RNA is filed under the name uncultured bacterium. Its description in RNAcentral is "partial 16S ribosomal RNA". It matches the Rfam family "Bacterial small subunit ribosomal RNA", at positions 524 to 794 of the family's 1533-position model. The record is from RNAcentral.
UACGGAGGGUGCGAGCGUUAAUCGGAAUUACUGGGCGUAAAGCGUACGCAGGCGGUUUGUUAAGCGAGAUGUGAAAGCCCCCCGGGCGUCAACCUACGGGAACGUAGCAUUUCGUAACUGGCAAACUAAGAGUGUGAUAGAGGGUGGUAGAAUUUCUAGGUGUAGCGGUGAAAUAGCGUAGAGAUCUGAAGGAAUACCGAUGGCGAAGGCAGCCACCUGGGUCAACACUGACGCUCAUGUACGAAAGACGUGGGGAGGCAAACAGGAUUAGAUACCCCGUACGU